AUACGGAGGGAGCAAGCGUUAUUCGGAAUCACUGGGCGUAAAGGACGCGUAGGCGGGUUUGUAAGUCAGGUGUGAAAUCCUACAGCUCAACUGUAGAACUGCACUUGAAACUACAGACCUAGAGUAUGGAAGGGGCAGAUGGAAUUAGUGGUGUAGGGGUAAAAUCUGUAGAUAUCACUAGGAAUACCGAAAGCGAAGGCGAUCUGCUGGGACAUUACUGACGCUGAGGCGUGAAAGCGUGGGGAGCAAACAGGAUUAGAAACCCUAGUAGUCC
RNAcentral lists this ribosomal RNA (274 nucleotides) under uncultured bacterium. RNAcentral's name for it is "partial 16S ribosomal RNA". It matches the Rfam family "Bacterial small subunit ribosomal RNA", at positions 523 to 796 of the family's 1533-position model. The record is from RNAcentral.